RNAcentral lists this long non-coding RNA (1967 nucleotides) under Homo sapiens (human). RNAcentral's name for it is "HSALNT0172856". The record is from RNAcentral. Lineage: Eukaryota; Metazoa; Chordata; Mammalia; Primates; Hominidae.
CAAGGACUUGCCCUUAAGCUCUCUCUUUCUUGGGGUAAGAGGAAAGCGAAGGGACCUCAGGUCAAGAUUUCUACAGCCCAAGAGAAGCUCAGCUUUAGCUAAUUAGGCACCUCCAGCACACAUGUGAACAGCUAGCGCCAAUAGCUUUGGUCAGCAUUAAUAUGCUGGGUGUAGAUCUUCUCCCUCCAAGACUCCAUACAUUCAGCGUCUUAAGAAGCAGACCCAGAGUUCCAGGGCACAGCCUCAGCAGCCCAAGGCCAGCUCCAAGGUCACUGGCCUUUCCUGAUUUGACCUUCACUUGGGAUCAAGUCUUCCUGAACCAGGUACAAACUAAAGCUCCAGCCUGAUCAAUCCAGCAGCCCCGGAGCCUCAAGAUCACAGAACUCCCAGCUAGGUCCUACUGCCAAAGCAGGGCUGCUUCUUAAUACACAGCCCUCUUCCUUCCAGAAACAAGCUGAAUCCGAGAAGCCCAGGCAGGCUGUGCUGCUAGCAUCCUGUGUAUUUCGAGUUCCCCAAGGACAGAGGUCAGGGAAUAAGAGCUGAGUGAGACCUCCCAAAGCAGAUCACAAAGAGAAGGGGACACUGCACCAUGGAGGUGACACAGGCCAGUGGCCACGGUGCUGGACCUGGGGCUGAGAGGACCCACAUGUAUAUCCUGGCCGAUUUAGGUAUCUUAGACUUUCUGUGCCUCACUUUCCUUAUCUGUGAAAUCAGCAUUCUGAUCAUGACUAAAUAAAAAUUGCUGCCAUUGAUCAAGGGCACUGACUGGACCAGGCACUGUGCUAACCUUGUGCCUGGCACUGUCUCAUUUAAUCUUCACAGCAGCCCGAUGAAGACAUGGGGGCUCAGGAUGGUUAACUGACCUCUACGUAGCAGCACAGUCAGCAUCUGAACUUGUAAGAGUGUCACAUAGGUUAAAAUCAUUUUUCCUGGCCCAGUGCGGUGACUCACGCCUGUAAUCCCAGCACUUUGGGAGGCCGAGAUGGGCUGAUCACCUGAGGUCAGGAAUUUGAGACCAGCCUGGCCAACAUGGUGAAACCCCAUCUCUACUAAAAAUACAAAAACAUUAGCCAGGCAUGGUGGCGGGUGCCUGUAAUCCCAGCUACUGGGGAGGCUGAGGCAGGAGAAUUGCUUGAAUCCGGGAGGCUGAGGUUGCAGUGAGCUGAGAUUGCGCCAUUGUGCUCCAGCCUGGGUGACAAGAGCAAAACUCCAUCCAAAAAAACCCCACAUUUUCCCAAAGCAAUAAUAGACUGGGUUAAACCAGUCAGUCUCCCACAAGAGAAGUUCCUGAACAUGAAUAACCCGAUUUUUUUGAAGGCAAGUUGGGCCAUGGUUAUCUCUCUUUGAGGACUGGCUGAGGACUGAGUGGGUGGGUUCACUGUGUGCCACAACAGCAGGGUUGAUUUAUGCCAGGCAUGAGUGGCUUACAGCCGACUGAUGCCCCUUUCUAAUGGGUCACAGCCCUGUUCUGGUUAUUGGCUAGUGCCCUAUUCUGGUUGGUUGGCACCAGAAGCACACUGGUUUUAAACAUUUUGCACAUCAGCCCUGCAUCACAGUGCCUGGCAGUCAUUUAUUCCUUCAUGGUAUAUGUAAUAAGCACCCUCUCUGGACGGGCCCUGUGCUGGGAGAGGGGAUUCACCUGCAAACGGAGCUGACCUGGUUUCUGUCUUAUUGAUACUGAUAGUCUAGUGGGAAAGACAUAACAGGCAAAUAAAUAAAAAUUAACACACAUGAAAGUAAGAGAUGUCAAAUAAACAGUUUCCAAAAAGAAACCAACAGCUGAAACUUUCUUUAGAUUGAGUGGUCAGUAGCAGCCUCUCUAAGUGGUGAAGUUUGAGUUGAGACCUGAAGGAAGAGAAUAAGCCAGGCUUAUAAGGAGAAAAGGAGAGAGGGGGGGAAGCACAGUCUAUGCAGAGGGGACAGUAUGUGCAAAGCUUCUGACGAAAGAGAAGAUCCGGCACGUCCAG